AGUGAACGCUGGCGGUAUGCCUAACGCAUGCAAGUCGAACGGCAGCACAGUAAGAGCUUGCUCUUACGGGUGGCGAGUGGCGGACGGGUGAGGAAUACAUCGGAAUCUACUUUUUCGUGGGGGAUAACGUAGGGAAACUUACGCUAAUACCGCAUACGACCUACGGGUGAAAGCAGGGGAUCUUCGGACCUUGCGCGAUUGAAUGAGCCGAUGUCGGAUUAGCUAGUUGGCGGGGUAAAGGCCCACCAAGGCGACGAUCCGUAGCUGGUCUGAGAGGAUGAUCAGCCACACUGGAACUGAGACACGGUCCAGACUCCUACGGGAGGCAGCAGUGGGGAAUAUUGGACAAUGGGCGAAAGCCUGAUCCAGCCAUACCGCGUGGGUGAAGAAGGCCUUCGGGUUGUAAAGCCCUUUUGUUGGGAAAGAAAAGCAGCAGGUUAAUACCCCGCUGUUCUGACGGUACCCAAAGAAUAAGCACCGGCUAACUUCGUG
RNAcentral lists this ribosomal RNA (492 nucleotides) under uncultured bacterium. RNAcentral's name for it is "partial 16S ribosomal RNA". It matches the Rfam family "Bacterial small subunit ribosomal RNA", at positions 29 to 507 of the family's 1533-position model. The record is from RNAcentral.